GUCUUAUACCUUUGGCCGGGUAUAAGAUGCUCUGGCAGCGUGAGGUCGAUCGCUGUAUCAUCACUAUAGCUCUUAUGUGAUGGUUGUCGGUUAGAGAAGCUCCCACAGCAGUUAUUGUAUUUUCAUACACAGAGAUUAUUGUAUUUUUAUAUACAUCAGUUCAUUGUAUUUCUAUAUACAUUUCAGGCUUAUUGUAUCCUUGUAUACACACAGAGUUCAUAGCAUGUUUUAAGCAAUCUUUCUUUAUAUCGCACUUGUUUUAAAUUGCCUUAUAUUGAAAGAAGUCAGUCAGGUUGAGUUGAGUUGAGCUAGGUAAGUUAUUCAGUUUCUUUCAGAUUUCCUUCUAGCCUUUGUUGCU
RNAcentral lists this long non-coding RNA (358 nucleotides) under Solanum tuberosum (potato). RNAcentral's name for it is "long non-coding RNA (STUB_LNC001682)". Lineage: Eukaryota; Viridiplantae; Streptophyta; Magnoliopsida; Solanales; Solanaceae. The record is from RNAcentral.